GGUUGGAUUUGGCAAAGGUGGACAUGAGCAAAUGACCAGAGGUUUUCCCUGUGAAACCCCGUACCAGCAUCUGCUUCCCGGAGAACACAAGAAGCCUCGCUACUCGUCAUCCCAUCCCUAGGGCCGUAUGCGUGGGACACAUAUGUGUCCGGAAGGGGAGCAGAUGACAUACGCUGGGGAAAAAGGGCUCAGAGGGCAAGAAAUGCCUGAGCACCAGCUCCGUGCUGGGCACUGCGCCAGGCCCUCUGUGUCUGAGAUUUCCUUAAUCUUCAUAAUGAAACUGAUGUUGGUUUCACCACCUCCAUUUACUGUUAAAGACACUGACGGCUCAGAAAGGUUAAGAAACUUGCCUGAGGGCUUCGAACCCAUCCAGGGAUGCCAAACAACAAAAACAAAACCACAGACAAACAAAAAAGAAACUUGCCCGAGGGCACCUGACUGCUAAGGGGUGGAACCAGGAUUUGAACCUAGAGUGUUUGACUCCAGUGUUUGGGCUCUUUGGGCUGCUGGGCCGAGGGUGAGGCAGCACCGUGGGCCCCGUUCCCUUCUGGAAACCCCGCAAGCCAAGCAUCUUCAUCAAUACUCAGUAAUGCUGUCAGACCUAUCAGAGCCCAGAGUCAUUCGGAGUGGCGUGCAGGAGAGAGACCUUAGAAUCCUUCAUUUCACUCUAGAAACGCCUUCUGAAUCUCCUGCUGAGAUCCACCCCUUUCCCCACAUUCAGCUUCAGACAAAGGGCUAAGCCUAAUAAAGGUAAACACCAUCGUAAUUAUAAUGAAGUAAUAAUAAUACAAAGUUAGCUCACGUGAUGAGCGCUCUCGUGACACGUACUUUUUCAUCCACACACAUCCAUGUGUUUUCUUGCUUUAAUAUUUGUUCUUCCAUCUGCCUUGCGAAGAACUUUCUUCCCUUGUGAACGUUCCUGCCUGUCUGUCCUCCUGCUGACCCUGAAUUUCAAGGAGGGGGCAGAUGCUCAGCUGCUGCUCAGCCCUCUGGCUACACUUUGAGCCUCAGAGAGACAAGCAGGUACAUGAUUUUCUGCCAUGUUACAAAUAGGGAAACAUGAAGGAGUAAGUUGGGUUGUGCGCAUUAAGGGAGUAUGGCUAUAUGGGGCCUGACUGUCUUCCUGUGCUUUGGCUCAAAGGAAAUUAUAAAACGUUAUUAAGCGUCUGUUAUCUCUGUCUCGUGGGAAUUUCAUUUAGCCCCUUGAUAUAUCAAUGCUAGAUCUGGCCUGCAAGAAGACUGUUUAGUACCACUUAUUGAUGAUUUACUCUGUACCAGGCACUGUGAUGGGUACUUCGCAGGCAACUAUACUUUCAUGGCUUUCGAGCCAUGAUGGUCCCAUUUUACUUAGGAGCAAACAGAUUCAGAGAGGUUAAGCAGCUGGCUUAAGAUCACACAGCUAGGCAGAAUUAGGUUUCAAACCUAACUCUUUCUGACUCCAAAGCUUAUUCUGUGCACCAUGCUAUAUAGCUUUGGGAAGAAAUGGGCUUAGGAGGCCCUGAAACUGAAUGUUUUAAAAUAGAUAUUAAAACUAUUUGAUAUUUGUUGUAUCCUCAAGACAAUUUAGUGAGAUAGAUGGCAAUAUUUUCCAUCUUAACACAUCCUUCCCUUUUUACGCCUCUUUUUCCUCCCAACCACCCCUUUCAAGGCCAAAGCUCUAAAAUAAAACUAGCCCACACUUCCUCACAUCCCAUCCUUUCCUCCACGUACUUCCCCGGGGCUCCAUGCCCACCUCGUCACAGAACCUGCUCUUGUCAUCAUCCCCAGUGACCUCCGUGUUGCCAGAUCCACUGGACUCUCUCCCCUCCCAAUCUUUUUCAGAUUCUUUAGGAAUAUUUGACCCAGUUGAUCCCUCCUUCUUGAAAGAAUGUCCUCCUUUGGUUUGGGGAACAUCACACACUCUCAGUGUUUUCCUUUCCCCUCUCUGGCCACCACGCAGGCCCCUUCCCGGGUUCUUUCUAUUACCAGCUGUGUAUGCAAUACUCCGUCCUUCCUUCUUCCUGACAAAUACAAGCCCAGCGUUGUUCAGGUCAGCAAGCUGCCCAGCUAAGAAGACUUCCUUUUCUGGACUCACUUGGAGUUGGGAGGAUGUGUGCUCUGGACAAUGAAGAAGCUGGCUGCGUAAAGGCUUCCAGGACAGCUUUCAUUUCUCGAUUGAAAGGAGAGGGCUUGCCCUGUGUCCCUCCUGCUUCCUACCUGGAUUGUGGUCCUGCACCCAAAGGUACAGCUGCCAUCUUGUGACCAUGAAGCCACAAGCUCGAGGAUAGAGACCUACGUGCCAAAAACCGCAGAAGAGGAAGAUAGAAGAACUUGGGUCCCCGAGAUGUUAUGGAUCGGCUGCACCAUCCUUGGGCUGCCAAGGUCCAGAGUUCACGUUAUGUGACAAGAAUACACCCUCACCUAAACACCCAACAAGAAUUUUCUGUUAUUUGCCAUCAAAUAAAAACAUUCUGAACUGA
Long non-coding RNA from Aethalodelphis obliquidens (Pacific white-sided dolphin), 2459 nucleotides. RefSeq lists it as uncharacterized. The record is from RefSeq and is a predicted model, not a curated record. NCBI's taxonomy places the organism in Eukaryota, Metazoa, Chordata, Mammalia, Artiodactyla, Delphinidae. The transcript has 2 exons.